RNAcentral lists this ribosomal RNA (918 nucleotides) under marine metagenome. RNAcentral describes it as "bacterial SSU rRNA". It matches the Rfam family "Bacterial small subunit ribosomal RNA", at positions 246 to 1184 of the family's 1533-position model. The record is from RNAcentral.
UUGUUGGUGAGGUAAAAGCUCACCAAGGCUUCGAUCUUUAGCUGGUUUGAGAGGAUGAUCAGCCACACUGGGACUGAGACACGGCCCAGACUCCUACGGGAGGCAGCAGUAGGGAAUAUUGGACAAUGGGGGCAACCCUGAUCCAGCAAUGCAGCGUGAGUGACGAAGGCCUUAGGGUUGUAAAACUCUUUCAUCGGUGAGGAUAAUGACAGUAGCCGAAGAAGAAGGACCGGCUAAUUCCGUGCCAGCAGCCGCGGUAAUACGGAAGGUCCUAGCGUUGUUCGGAAUUACUGGGCGUAAAGCGCAUGUAGGCGGAACAGAAAGUUAGAAGUGAAAUCCCUGGGCUCAACCUAGGAAUUGCUUUUAAAACUUCUGUUCUGGAAUUCAGGAGAGGAAAAUGGAAUUUCCAGUGUAGAGGUGAAAUUCGUAGAUAUUGGAAGGAACACCAGUGGCGAAGGCGAUUUUCUGGACUGAUAUUGACGCUGAGAUGCGAAGGCAUGGGUAGCAAACGGGAUUAGAUACCCCGGUAGUCCAUGCAGUAAACGAUGGGUGCUAGUCGUCGGACUUUUGUUCGGUGUCGUAGCUAACGCGUUAAGCACCCCGCCUGGGGAGUACGGUCGCAAGAUUAAAACUCAAAUAAAUUGACGGGGACCCGCACAAGCAGUGGAGCAUGUGGUUUAAUUCGACGCAACGCGAAGAACCUUACCAGCGUUUGACAUGGAAAGUACCGGUUACAGAAUGGUAACCUUCAGUUCGGCUGGCUUUCGCACAGGUGCUGCAUGGCUGUCGUCAGCUCGUGUCGUGAGAUGUUGGGUUAAGUCCCGCAACGAGCGCAACCCUUAUCGUUAGUUACUAACAGUUCGGCUGAGGACUCUAGCGAAACUGCCGGUGAUAAGCCGGAGGAAGGUGGGGAUGACG